RNAcentral lists this ribosomal RNA (263 nucleotides) under uncultured bacterium. RNAcentral's name for it is "partial 16S ribosomal RNA". It matches the Rfam family "Bacterial small subunit ribosomal RNA", at positions 524 to 784 of the family's 1533-position model. The record is from RNAcentral.
UACGAAGGAGGCUAGCGUUGCUCGGAAUCACUGGGCGUAAAGCGCACGUAGGCGGAUCUUUAAGUCAGGGGUGAAAUCCCAAGGCUCAACCUUGGAACUGCCUUUGAUACUGGGGAUCUCGAGUCCGGAAGAGGUUGGUGGAACUGCGAGUGUAGAGGUGAAAUUCGUAGAUAUUCGCAAGAACACCAGUGGCGAAGGCGGCCAACUGGUCCGGUACUGACGCUGAGGUGCGAAAGCGAUGGGGAGCAAACGGGGAUUAAGAA